AUGCAUGGGUGCAUGUGCAUGUGUGUGUGCCCCCCCCAUACACACACACACAAAUCAGAUGCAUGAGCACCAAACUCACUC
Molecule: microRNA precursor, 81 nt
Filed under: Ictidomys tridecemlineatus (thirteen-lined ground squirrel)
Lineage: Eukaryota; Metazoa; Chordata; Mammalia; Rodentia; Sciuridae
Description: miRNA (ENSSTOG00000032477.1)
Source: RNAcentral